AUCACUAUCAAGGAUUACGAAGGGUUGAUUAGGACAUCUAGGUUGGCUACUACUUUCAACUUGCUUAUCUUUUUUAGGUCGGGGAGCCGGGGGAAGGGGAGUAUUUUGGCCACUAAUUUCACCGGUUUUACCUUUUCGUUUACCGAAGAUUUUUUUCAACGAAAAUGCCAUAAUAAUUAGAAUUGAGCACACUAAAAACACAAAAAAAUACUAUUAGCAUGUAAGAGUUGAAACGAGUUUACCGGAUUGACGAACAACUUCUUGAAAAUUGAAAAUCGUUGAACUUGAACACU
Molecule: long non-coding RNA, 293 nt
Filed under: Nicotiana benthamiana
Lineage: Eukaryota; Viridiplantae; Streptophyta; Magnoliopsida; Solanales; Solanaceae
Description: long non-coding RNA (NBEN_LNC016719)
Source: RNAcentral